This 429-nucleotide ribosomal RNA is filed under the name Chloroflexota bacterium. Its description in RNAcentral is "Chloroflexi bacterium partial 16S ribosomal RNA". It matches the Rfam family "Bacterial small subunit ribosomal RNA", at positions 355 to 776 of the family's 1533-position model. Lineage: Bacteria; Bacillati; Chloroflexota. The record is from RNAcentral.
UGGGGAAUAUUGCACAAUGGGCGCAAGCCUGAUGCAGCCAUGCCGCGUGUAUGAAGAAGGCCUUCGGGUUGUAAAGUACUUUCAGCGGGGAGGAAGGGAGUAAAGUUAAUACCUUUGCUCAUUGACGUUACCCGCAGAAGAAGCACCGGCUAACUCCGUGCCAGCAGCCGCGGUAAUACGGAGGGUGCAAGCGUUAAUCGGAAUUACUGGGCGUAAAGCGCACGCAGGCGGUUUGUUAAGUCAGAUGUGAAAUCCCCGGGCUCAACCUGGGAACUGCAUCUGAUACUGGCAAGCUUGAGUAUCGUCGAGGGGGGUAGAAUUCCAGGUGUGGCGGUGAAAUGCGUAGAGAUCUGGAGGAAUACCGGUGGCGAAGGCGGCCCCCUGGACGAAGACUGACGCUCAGGUGCGAAAGCGUGGGGAGCAAACAGG